This 125-nucleotide ribosomal RNA is filed under the name Megamonas funiformis. Its description in RNAcentral is "partial 16S ribosomal RNA". It matches the Rfam family "Bacterial small subunit ribosomal RNA", at positions 1 to 126 of the family's 1533-position model. Lineage: Bacteria; Bacillati; Bacillota; Negativicutes; Selenomonadales; Selenomonadaceae. The record is from RNAcentral.
UUUUUGGAGAGUUUGAUCCUGGCUCAGGACGAACGCUGGCGGCGUGCUUAACACAUGCAAGUCGAACGGGGUGUUUAUUUCGGUAAACACCAAGUGGCGAACGGGUGAGUAACGCGUAAGCAAUC